UAGCUCAGUUGGUAAAGCAUCUGCUUGCAACGCAGGAGACCCGGGUUUGAUUCCUGG
This is a transfer RNA of Ovis aries (sheep), 57 nucleotides long. It matches the Rfam family "tRNA", at positions 8 to 63 of the family's 71-position model. Rfam says of the family: Transfer RNA (tRNA) molecules are approximately 80 nucleotides in length. Their secondary structure includes four short double-helical elements and three loops (D, anti-codon, and T loops). Further hydrogen bonds mediate the characteristic L-shaped molecular structure. tRNAs have two regions of fundamental functional importance: the anti-codon, which is responsible for specific mRNA codon recognition, and the 3' end, to which the tRNAs corresponding amino acid is attached (by aminoacyl-tRNA synthetases). tRNAs cope with the degeneracy of the genetic code in two manners: having more than one tRNA (with a specific anti-codon) for a particular amino acid; and 'wobble' base-pairing, i.e. permitting non-standard base-pairing at the 3rd anti-codon position. Lineage: Eukaryota; Metazoa; Chordata; Mammalia; Artiodactyla; Bovidae. The record is from Rfam.